CCAUGCAUGUCUAAGUACAUACUCUAUCUUCCUGCGUGUGAAAGCACAAUGGUCGUGAGAGAGAGAAACCGCGGACGGCUCAUUAAAUCAGUUGUGGUCUUAAAUGGAGAGUUUUCCUUAAUUGGAUAACUGUGGUAAUUCUAGAGCUAAUACAUGCAACAUAUAAGUCCGACGCUUGUGUAACAGCUCGCAUACGACUGCUUUUAUUAGACCNAAAACUCGCCGAGGGUGUGUGUAGUAAUAUGCAUAUCCCUAUGACUCGUGUUAUGGUGACUCUGGAUAACCUCUAAGACAAGCGCAUAUAGUACCCUUAACGGGGGAACUGGCGCUACCACUUUUCGAGUAUCUGCCUUAUCAGCUAUGUAUCGUUUGUUAUGUGCACACGAUGGCUUUGACGGGUAACGGGGAAUCUGAGUUCGAUUCCGGAGAGGCAGCCUGAGAAACGGCUACCACGUCCAAGGACGGCAGCAGGCACGCAAAUUACCCAAUCCCAGUACCUGGGGGAGGUAGUAACAGUAUCUAACGAUGCGAACGUUUCGUAAGAAGCUUCGCAAUCGGAAUGAGCAUGAACUUUUGUUUCUUUCUAAAGCCUUUGUUGAGAACCAACUGAAGGGCAAGUCUGGUGCCAGCAGCCGCGGUAAUUCCAGCUUCAGCGGCAUGUAUCAAUGUUGCUGCGGUUAAAAGGCUCGCAGUUGAAUGUCAGAUCAAUGAGUCUAAGCGGUGGAUGUUGUGGCUUGCAUGUUAGUGGUGGUGUGGCUUUGACUAUGUUUUUGUGCUGCUCCUAAUGCAUUAAGGGGAUUCGUUCCCGUGGCUCUACUGCCGCUCUUGUGUGCUUAAGUGCUACAGGUGUAUUGUAUCCAUUUUGUAAGCGGUGCAUAAUAUUGAUUACGCAUCGUCACAUUUAAGCUGCCCUUUGCUUUCCUCCAUCCGUUAUAUACUGCUGGAUUCUCGGUCAAUGGAAGAACUCUGUUUACGCAUUAUAUAUACUCGCCUUGGUGUGUUCGCGCGCUUUGGCUUCUUGUGUGUGUAUUUGUGUUCUUGUUCAGUAUGACACCCUGAGUAAAUCGGAGUGCUCAAAGCGGUCGAGUAAUGAGUAUAUGUAAUGUAUGCUCUUACAAGAAUUGAUUUAUCUUGACGUGUGCGAAAGUGCACUGAUAGAGACUGUCCUGGUUUUGCAUGGUAUGUCGAAAGACGCCAUCAUACGUUGGUUACGAGUUGGUUGCGACAGUUGACUUAUGCUUACUGUUCGGGGGCUCAAGGUAAAACUUUUGCUUCUAUGUUUGCUUGUUGGCUACAACUCCAACGUUGAUGGAAUGAUAAAGAGAGAUGGUCGAGGACAACAGUAUUGCGAGGCGAGCGGUGAAAUGCUAUGACCCCCGCAAGACUACCUGAAGCGAAUGCGUCUGUCAAGGACGUUUCAUUAAUCCCAGGCGUGGAGCUUGCGGCUUAAUUUGACUCAACACGGGGAACCUUACCAGGCCAGCACUCUUGAAUGAUUGACAGAUUGAGAGUUCUUUCUCGAUUCAGUGGAUGGUGGUGCAUGGCCGUUCUUAGUUGGUGGAGUGAUCUGUCUGGUUAAUUCCGAUAACGAACGAGACUCUCCCCUGCUAAAUAUGUCGGUUGGAUCUUGUGUCCCGAGAGUUGUGUAUUGAGAUGCGUGCGCUUGUAAUUGAUUCAUUUCGAGAGCAGGUGUGCAAGUUUCCUUCACGCUCCAAGUCCGCCGCAUGCAUGUAGCUUGGUGUACUUGCACUUGUUAAUCGCGCGCGCUAGGGGAGAGAGCUGUGAUCUUUUGCCUUGUGCAUUAGGUUCUUCUUCUUCUUCUCUUUGUGUGUGUGUGCUCUUUUGCUUGUGCUCAUGUCUAUGUGCAAUGACAAAGUCUUCUUAGAGGUAUAAACGGCCCUUAAGCCGUAUGAGACUGUGAGCAAUAACAGGUCUGUUAUGCCCUUUGAUGUUCUGGGCCGCACGCGUGCUACAAUGCCGGGUACAGCAGGUGUUAUCCUUCUCCGAGAGGAGUUGGUAAUCCUGUGAAAGCCCUUGAACUCUAUAUAUGUUUCAAUGAGCAAUUUGUUUUGUUCAGCAUUGAAAUUAAUGGCAUGCUUGGGCCUGGGGCUUGCAAUUGUUUCCCACAAACGAGGAAUGCCUAGUAGUGACUGGUCACAAAGUGGUUGCGACUCAGUCCCUGCCCUUUGUACACACCGCCCGUCGCUACUACCGAUUGGGUGGAGAAGUGAGGACCUUGGAGUGUGGCGAGCCUAUAUGAUUCCUUCAUUGUGUUUCUAAGGUUUACUGCAUAAAGAGGUUCAAACUUUUCUACCUAGAGGAAGUAAAAGUCGAACAAGG
Molecule: ribosomal RNA, 2340 nt
Filed under: Acanthonotozomoides cf. oatesi MLV-2016
Lineage: Eukaryota; Metazoa; Arthropoda; Malacostraca; Amphipoda; Acanthonotozomellidae
Description: partial 18S ribosomal RNA
Rfam family: Eukaryotic small subunit ribosomal RNA
Source: RNAcentral